UACAUGCAAGUCGAACGAGAUCUUCGGAUCUAGUGGCGCACGGGUGCGUAACGCGUGGGAAUCUGCCCUUGGGUUCGGAAUAACUUCUGGAAACGGAAGCUAAUACCGGAUGAUGACGUAAGUCCAGAGAUUUAUCGCCCAAGGAUGAGCCCCCGUAGGAUUAACUAGUUGGUGGGGUAAAGGCCCACCAAGGCGACGAUCCUUAGCUGGUCUGAGAGGAUGAUCAGCCACACUGGGACUGAGACACGGCCCAGACUCCUACGGGAGGCAGCAGUAGGGAAUAUUGGACAAUGGGCGAAAGCCUGAUCCAGCAAUGCCGCGUGAGUGAUGAAGGCCUUAGGGUUGUAAAGCUCUUUUACCCGGGAUGAUAAUGACAGUACCGGGAGAAUAAGCUCCGGCUAACUCCGUGCCAGCAGCCGCGGUAAUACGGAGGGAGCUAGCGUUGUUCGGAAUUACUGGGCGUAAAGCGCACGUAGGCGGCUAUUCAAGUCAGAGGUGAA
RNAcentral lists this ribosomal RNA (500 nucleotides) under uncultured bacterium. Its description in RNAcentral is "bacterial SSU rRNA". It matches the Rfam family "Bacterial small subunit ribosomal RNA", at positions 52 to 598 of the family's 1533-position model. The record is from RNAcentral.